UUAAGCGACUAAGCGUACACGGUGGAUGCCCUGGCAGUCAGAGGCGAUGAAGGACGUGCUAAUCUGCGAUAAGCGUCGGUAAGGUGAUAUGAACCGUUAUAACCGGCGAUUUCCGAAUGGGGAAACCCAGUGUGUUUCGACACACUAUCAUUAACUGAAUCCAUAGGUUAAUGAGGCGAACCGGGGGAACUGAAACAUCUAAGUACCCCGAGGAAAAGAAAUCAACCGAGAUUCCCCCAGUAGCGGCGAGCGAACGGGGAGCAGCCCAGAGCCUGAAUCAGUGUGUGUGUUAGUGGAAGCGUCUGGAAAGGCGCGCGAUACAGGGUGACAGCCCCGUACACAAAAAUGCACAUGCUGUGAGCUCGAUGAGUAGGGCGGGACACGUGGUAUCCUGUCUGAAUAUGGGGGGACCAUCCUCCAAGGCUAAAUACUCCUGACUGACCGAUAGUGAACCAGUACCGUGAGGGAAAGGCGAAAAGAACCCCGGCGAGGGGAGUGAAAAAGAACCUGAAACCGUGUACGUACAAGCAGUGGGAGCCUCUUUAUGGGGUGACUGCGUACCUUUUGUAUAAUGGGUCAGCGACUUAUAUUCUGUAGCAAGGUUAACCGAAUAGGGGAGCCGAAGGGAAACCGAGUCUUAACUGGGCGUUAAGUUGCAGGGUAUAGACCCGAAACCCGGUGAUCUAGCCAUGGGCAGGUUGAAGGUUGGGUAACACUAACUGGAGGACCGAACCGACUAAUGUUGAAAAAUUAGCGGAUGACUUGUGGCUGGGGGUGAAAGGCCAAUCAAACCGGGAGAUAGCUGGUUCUCCCCGAAAGCUAUUUAGGUAGCGCCUCGUGAACUCAUCUCCGGGGGUAGAGCACUGUUUCGGCAAGGGGGUCAUCCCGACUUACCAACCCGAUGCAAACUGCGAAUACCGGAGAAUGUUAUCACGGGAGACACACGGCGGGUGCUAACGUCCGUCGUGAAGAGGGAAACAACCCAGACCGCCAGCUAAGGUCCCAAAGUCAUGGUUAAGUGGGAAACGAUGUGGGAAGGCCCAGACAGCCAGGAUGUUGGCUUAGAAGCAGCCAUCAUUUAAAGAAAGCGUAAUAGCUCACUGGUCGAGUCGGCCUGCGCGGAAGAUGUAACGGGGCUAAACCAUGCACCGAAGCUGCGGCAGCGACACUAUGUGUUGUUGGGUAGGGGAGCGUUCUGUAAGCCUGUGAAGGUGUACUGUGAGGUAUGCUGGAGGUAUCAGAAGUGCGAAUGCUGACAUAAGUAACGAUAAAGCGGGUGAAAAGCCCGCUCGCCGGAAGACCAAGGGUUCCUGUCCAACGUUAAUCGGGGCAGGGUGAGUCGACCCCUAAGGCGAGGCCGAAAGGCGUAGUCGAUGGGAAACAGGUUAAUAUUCCUGUACUUGGUGUUACUGCGAAGGGGGGACGGAGAAGGCUAUGUUGGCCGGGCGACGGUUGUCCCGGUUUAAGCGUGUAGGCUGGUUUUCCAGGCAAAUCCGGAAAAUCAAGGCUGAGGCGUGAUGACGAGGCACUACGGUGCUGAAGCAACAAAUGCCCUGCUUCCAGGAAAAGCCUCUAAGCAUCAGGUAACAUCAAAUCGUACCCCAAACCGACACAGGUGGUCAGGUAGAGAAUACCAAGGCGCUUGAGAGAACUCGGGUGAAGGAACUAGGCAAAAUGGUGCCGUAACUUCGGGAGAAGGCACGCUGAUAUGUAGGUGAGGUCCCUCGCGGAUGGAGCUGAAAUCAGUCGAAGAUACCAGCUGGCUGCAACUGUUUAUUAAAAACACAGCACUGUGCAAACACGAAAGUGGACGUAUACGGUGUGACGCCUGCCCGGUGCCGGAAGGUUAAUUGAUGGGGUUAGCGGUAACGCGAAGCUCUUGAUCGAAGCCCCGGUAAACGGCGGCCGUAACUAUAACGGUCCUAAGGUAGCGAAAUUCCUUGUCGGGUAAGUUCCGACCUGCACGAAUGGCGUAAUGAUGGCCAGGCUGUCUCCACCCGAGACUCAGUGAAAUUGAACUCGCUGUGAAGAUGCAGUGUACCCGCGGCAAGACGGAAAGACCCCGUGAACCUUUACUAUAGCUUGACACUGAACAUUGAGCCUUGAUGUGUAGGAUAGGUGGGAGGCUUUGAAGUGUGGACGCCAGUCUGCAUGGAGCCGACCUUGAAAUACCACCCUUUAAUGUUUGAUGUUCUAACGUUGACCCGUAAUCCGGGUUGCGGACAGUGUCUGGUGGGUAGUUUGACUGGGGCGGUCUCCUCCUAAAGAGUAACGGAGGAGCACGAAGGUUGGCUAAUCCUGGUCGGACAUCAGGAGGUUAGUGCAAUGGCAUAAGCCAGCUUGACUGCGAGCGUGACGGCGCGAGCAGGUGCGAAAGCAGGUCAUAGUGAUCCGGUGGUUCUGAAUGGAAGGGCCAUCGCUCAACGGAUAAAAGGUACUCCGGGGAUAACAGGCUGAUACCGCCCAAGAGUUCAUAUCGACGGCGGUGUUUGGCACCUCGAUGUCGGCUCAUCACAUCCUGGGGCUGAAGUAGGUCCCAAGGGUAUGGCUGUUCGCCAUUUAAAGUGGUACGCGAGCUGGGUUUAGAACGUCGUGAGACAGUUCGGUCCCUAUCUGCCGUGGGCGCUGGAGAACUGAGGGGGGCUGCUCCUAGUACGAGAGGACCGGAGUGGACGCAUCACUGGUGUUCGGGUUGUCAUGCCAAUGGCACUGCCCGGUAGCUAAAUGCGGAAGAGAUAAGUGCUGAAAGCAUCUAAGCACGAAACUUGCCCCGAGAUGAGUUCUCCCUGACUCCUUGAGAGUCCUGAAGGAACGUUGAAGACGACGACGUUGAUAGGCCGGGUGUGUAAGCGCAGCGAUGCGUUGAGCUAACCGGUACUAAUGAACCGUGAGGCUUAACCUU
This 2902-nucleotide ribosomal RNA is filed under the name Escherichia coli. RNAcentral's name for it is "bacterial LSU rRNA". It matches the Rfam family "Bacterial large subunit ribosomal RNA". The record is from RNAcentral. Lineage: Bacteria; Pseudomonadati; Pseudomonadota; Gammaproteobacteria; Enterobacterales; Enterobacteriaceae.